This 492-nucleotide ribosomal RNA is filed under the name uncultured bacterium. RNAcentral describes it as "partial 16S ribosomal RNA". It matches the Rfam family "Bacterial small subunit ribosomal RNA", at positions 29 to 507 of the family's 1533-position model. The record is from RNAcentral.
AGUGAACGCUGGCGGUAGGCCUAACACAUGCAAGUCGAACGGCAGCACAGUAAGAGCUUGCUCUUACGGGUGGCGAGUGGCGGACGGGUGAGGAAUACAUCGGAAUCUACUUUUUCGUGGGGGAUAACGUAGGGAAACUUACGCUAAUACCGCAUCCGACCUACGGGGAAAAGCAGGGGACCUUCGGACCUUCCGGGAUUGAAUGAGCCGAUGUCGGAUUAGCUAGUUGGCGGGGUAAAGGCCCACCAAGGCGACGAUCCGUAGCUGGUCUGAGAGGAUGAUCAGCCACACUGGAACUGAGACACGGUCCAGACUCCUACGGGAGGCAGCAGUGGGGAAUAUUGGACAAUGGGCGCAAGCCUGAUCCAGCCAUACCGCGUGGGUGAAGAAGGCCUUCGGGUUGUAAAGCCCUUUUGUUGGGAAAGAAAAGCAGCAGGUUAAUACCCCGCUGUUCUGACGGUACCCAAAGAAUAAGCACCGGCUAACUUCGUG